This 118-nucleotide ribosomal RNA is filed under the name Pteropus alecto (black flying fox). The record is from RNAcentral. Lineage: Eukaryota; Metazoa; Chordata; Mammalia; Chiroptera; Pteropodidae.
GUCCAUCGCCAUGCUACCCUUAACAAGUCCAAUGCUGUCUGAUCUCGGAAGCUAAGCAGGGUUGGGUCUGGUUAGUACUUAGAUGGGAGACCACCUAGGAAGACAGGUGCUGUAGGCA